AUUGAACGCUGGCGGCAUGCCUUACACAUGCAAGUCGAACGGCAGCACGGGAGCAAUCCUGGUGGCGAGUGGCGAACGGGUGAGUAAUAUAUCGGAACGUGCCCAGUCGUGGGGAUAACGUAGCGAAAGCUACGCUAAUACCGCAUACGAUCUAUGGAUGAAAGCGGGGGAUCGCAAGACCUCGCGCGAUUGGAGCGGCCGAUAUCAGAUUAGGUAGUUGGUGAGGUAAAGGCUCACCCAAGCCGACGAUCUGUAGCUGGUCUGAGAGGAUGAUCAGCCACACUGGAACUGAGACACGGUCCAGACUCCUACGGGAGGCAGCAGUGGGGAAUAUUUGGACAAUGGGCGAAAGCCUGAUCCAGCCAUGCCGCGUGU
Molecule: ribosomal RNA, 375 nt
Filed under: uncultured bacterium
Lineage: Bacteria
Description: bacterial SSU rRNA
Rfam family: Bacterial small subunit ribosomal RNA
Source: RNAcentral